This 2423-nucleotide long non-coding RNA is filed under the name Rattus norvegicus (Norway rat). RNAcentral describes it as "long non-coding RNA NONRATT018879". Lineage: Eukaryota; Metazoa; Chordata; Mammalia; Rodentia; Muridae. The record is from RNAcentral.
CGGCCCGGGACACAAGAUGGCGGCAGCGGCGCUGGGGAGGGCGAGGCGGAGGCGGCAAAACGGGCGGUCGAGCAGAACGUGUGGCCGCAUCCCCUCGAGUCCGCUUCGAGCAGCUGCUGAUUCACGGAGUCCCCUGGGUCCUUGUCAACUGAACUGCUGACCAGCCCACCCACUUCUGCUGCGCCUUCCUGUGGGCCUCCCCCCUCUUCUGUGGGACCCCGUGACGUGGGUUCAAUCAGCCAGAGAAGAAAACACUCUCAUGCUAGUAUCGCAGACCCCAGAGGGUGAGAGAAAAGGGGACUUUAUUCAGCCUUGAAACCCAUGGGCUCAGCCCCUCAAGAAGCCAUUCCAAACCUUUCUGUGAUCAAGGCUCUUGUGUUACAUGUCCUGUUGCCCUGUGAUUUUUAUCUGCCAAACUGUACAGAUAAAGUAACUAUUUGAUUUUUCCAUUUCCAAAUUAACAGGCGUCUUUGAGUGUUAAAUAAAAUAAACGUUCUAUGAUUCCUAUGAUGUCGUUAACCAGUCAGGACUCCUGAUCAGCUCAAAGAAAGUCUUUGAAUCAGCCUUUGUGGUCUUACUGUGGGGGAAGGUUUCUCAUGGGUUUUGUAACAUAUUAAAAACAACAAACUCCCCAGUCUAAUCUCAGGUGUCCCCAGGGGUGUAAUAGAUCCAGACUAGGAUGGGCCUGGCCUUUGGGGCCUGUCCCAGGUGUGCACAGGGGUAGCAGAGAAUAGAAAGCUGAAGAAACUGGCUUUGUUGCUGCAUUAAGAGUCAGUGUUUGCCUGGGGCUUCUGAAGGACUGAACCAGAUGAUACUCUUUAGUUACACUGCUUCCUUUAGCAUGAGACUGCAACCAGUUAGAGUCCAUGCUUCCUCUUCAGCUGGGCUGGUCCACUGAGACUUUACCUAGUGGGAACAGUAAAACCAUUAUCCCAAGGAAGGCACUGGUCCUCGUAGGAAUGACUUCUCUCUUGUUGGCUGCUCUGGUGCUCUUUAAAUAUAUGCAAGAUUAGUAGAGCUCCUCUUGGGCCCAGGUGGCAUUCUUAGCCUUGGAGACCAAUGCCCUGGACCCAGUCUACUGAGAGUUCCACUGUCGGGUCUAGCCAUCUAGAACUACAAUGCAUUUUCCAUGGCAUUAGAAGAGCUUUGCCCAUCAAACCUGGGCAUGGAGCAGGGGAGAGGGAGGGUGGGGGGAAAGGCUUCCUGGAGAACAUGAGCCCAAGGGCAAGCUAGGCAAUUAGAAGGAUAUACAGUGGGUGCUCCAUUGUACAACAGAGGGGACAACAACUUUAAUCUCAGUGCAUCUGUGGCGUCAGCUGGCCGCUGUCCAGGGCAAGACUGUUGGACUUCUCCAAUCUCUAGAUAAGUCACCAGAGCCCUAGGUUGUAAUUGGUGGGUGGGAUGGAGCUGACACUCUUGGUCCUGUGCGGCAGGUCCCGAGUGGGUGCUGAGAUGGCCAAUGAGAAUCACGGCAGCCCCCGGGAAGAAGCAUCCCUUCUAAGUCACUCUCCAGGCACCUCCAAUCAGAACCAGCCCUGUUCUCCAAAGCCAGUUCGCCUGGUACAGGACCUCCCAGAGGAACUGGUACAUGCAGGCUGGGAGAAGUGCUGGAGCCGAAGGGAGAGCCGUCCCUACUACUUCAACCGAUUCACCAACCAGUCCCUGUGGGAGAUGCCUGUGCUGGGUCAGCACGAUGUGCUUGUGAGUGCCAGUUUGGGGCAAGGGUCUCAGGGCAGGUCUCUCUCCUUCUACAAAUGCUAUCCUGAACAACUAGGCAUCUAGCCGUGCGCUGAUACCUAUAGAUAAAACAUAAAGCAAGUCAGUCUGCCCUCAGACUGGAGAGAGUGACAAGUGUCAGAUUACUAGUGUAGCACUCUGAACCCAGAACACAUUGCAAAUGAGAUGAGCAAGGCUGACUCGCUCCCUUCCUGUUUUUAUGAUAUGCUUGCUCUGUGGUGGACAGCAGGAUUCCAGUUGUAUUGAGCCAGGCAUGGUGCCUACCUUUAAUCCUAGAACUUGAGAGGCAGACGAGAGGCAGGUAGAUCUUUAUGAGUUCUAGGCCAGCUUGAUCUUCAAAGUGAGUCUAGGACAGCCAGGGCUACACAGACAAUCCUGUUUUUAAAAAACUAAAAAAUAAAAAUAUGGUAUUGAAACUCAUUGGGGAUCCUGAUCUGGGGAAGAAGGAAGAGUUCCUCUGAGAAUCAGGGUUUAAAGUAAAGCUAAGUGGGAAAGGAAGGGUGUUAUAGAGUGUUAGUUACCAUAGGGUCAGGCAGCCACCCGAGCUCCUAGACCCCCUCAGUUGGAGCAGGCCUUAUUACCCAUCAGGCAGGGACCUCUCCAGUCCGCAGGUGAAGACACAGGUUCAAAGUAACCAGGCCAAGGCCACAUGGCUGCUUAUAGGCAGAGGGGCAUGUGCAGGAUUC